GAUGAACGCUGGCGGCGUGCCUAAUACAUGCAAGUCGAGCGAACGGACGAGACGCUUGCUUUUCUGAUGUUAGCGGCGGACGGGUGAGUAACACGUGGAUAACCUACCUAUAAGACUGGGAUAACUUCGGGAAACCGGAGCUAAUACCGGAUAAUAUUUUGAACCGCAUGGUUCAAAAGUGAAAGACGGUCUUGCUGUCACUUAUAGAUGGAUCCGCGCUGCAUUAGCUAGUUGGUAAGGUAACGGCUUACCAAGGCAACGAUGCAUAGCCGACCUGAGAGGGUGAUCGGCCACACUGGAACUGAGACACGGUCCAGACCCCUACGGGAGGCAGCAGUAGGGAAUCUUCGGCAAUGGGCGAAAGCCUGACGGAGCAACGCCGCGUGAGUGAUGAAGGUCUUCGGAUCGUAAAACUCUGUUAUUAGGGAGGAACAUAUGUGUAAGUAACUGUGCACAUCUUGACGGUACCUAAUCAGAAAGCCACGGCUAACUACGUG
RNAcentral lists this ribosomal RNA (497 nucleotides) under uncultured bacterium. RNAcentral describes it as "partial 16S ribosomal RNA". It matches the Rfam family "Bacterial small subunit ribosomal RNA", at positions 28 to 507 of the family's 1533-position model. The record is from RNAcentral.